UAUAAUAUGAUGAUAAAUAAUUCUUUGAAAUUCACGUGAUAUGUACAAUUGUAAAAUAUCGAGCUUUUUAACACUGAUAAAA
Apis florea (little honeybee) is the source of this 82-nucleotide small nucleolar RNA. Lineage: Eukaryota; Metazoa; Arthropoda; Insecta; Hymenoptera; Apidae. The record is from RefSeq and is a predicted model, not a curated record.